RNAcentral lists this ribosomal RNA (360 nucleotides) under Marinomonas sp. HPCPW50. RNAcentral's name for it is "bacterial SSU rRNA". The stretch from base 26 to 324 matches the Rfam family "Bacterial small subunit ribosomal RNA", at positions 58 to 351 of the family's 1533-position model. Lineage: Bacteria; Pseudomonadati; Pseudomonadota; Gammaproteobacteria; Oceanospirillales; Oceanospirillaceae. The record is from RNAcentral.
CNUUANGCGGCGGGCCUUACCAUUGCAANUCGAGCGGUAGCACANAGGAACUUGUUUCUUGGGUGACGAGCGGCGGACGGGUGAGUAACGCGUAGGAAUCUACCUAGUAGAGGGGGACNACAUGUGGAAACGCAUGCUAAUACCGCAUACCCCCUUAGGGGGAAAGGAGGGGACUUUUCGGAGCCUUCCGCUAUUAGAUGAGCCUGCGUAAGAUUAGCUAGUUGGUAGGGUAAAGGCCUACCAAGGCGACNAUCUUUAACUGGUCUGACAGGAUGGCCAGCCACACUGGGACUGAGACACGGCCCUGACUCCUACCGGAGGCAGUCCUUGGUAAUAUUUAACUAUGCUUUUAGCCUNAUC